ACGCUGGCGGCGUGCCUAAUACAUGCAAGUAGAACGCUGAAGCUUGGUGCUUGCACCGAGCGGAUGAGUUGCGAACGGGUGAGUAACGCGUAGGUAACCUGCCUCUUAGCGGGGGAUAACUAUUGGAAACGAUAGCUAAUACCGCAUAAAAGUCAAUAUCGCAUGAUGUUGACUUGAAAGGUGCAUUUGCAUCACUAAGAGAUGGACCUGCGUUGUAUUAGCUAGUUGGUGAGGUAACGGCUCACCAAGGCGACGAUACAUAGCCGACCUGAGAGGGUGAUCGGCCACACUGGGACUGAGACACGGCCCAGACUCCUACGGGAGGCAGCAGUAGGGAAUCUUCGGCAAUGGGGGCAACCCUGACCGAGCAACGCCGCGUGAGUGAAGAAGGUUUUCGGAUCGUAAAGCUCUGUUGUAAGAGAAGAACGAGUGUGAGAGUGGAAAGUUCACACUGUGACGGUAACUUACCAGAAAGGGACGGCUAACUACGUGCCAGCAGCCGCGGUAAUACGUAGGUCCCGAGCGUUAUCCGGAUUUAUUGGGCGUAAAGCGAGCGCAGGCGGUUAGAUAAGUCUGAAGUUAAAGGCUGUGGCUUAACCAUAGUACGCUUUGGAAACUGUUUAACUUGAGUGCAGAAGGGGAGAGUGGAAUUCCAUGUGUAGCGGUGAAAUGCGUAGAUAUAUGGAGGAACACCGGUGGCGAAAGCGGCUCUCUGGUCUGUAACUGACGCUGAGGCUCGAAAGCGUGGGGAGCAAACAGGAUUAGAUACCCUGGUAGUCCACGCCGUAAACGAUGAGUGCUAGGUGUUGGGUCCUUUCCGGGACUCAGUGCCGCAGCUAACGCAUUAAGCACUCCGCCUGGGGAGUACGACCGCAAGGUUGAAACUCAAAGGAAUUGACGGGGGCCCGCACAAGCGG
Molecule: ribosomal RNA, 917 nt
Filed under: uncultured bacterium
Lineage: Bacteria
Description: bacterial SSU rRNA
Rfam family: Bacterial small subunit ribosomal RNA
Source: RNAcentral